GAUGAACGCUAGCGGCAGGCCUAAUAGAUGUAAGUCGAACGGGAUCUGAGGGUAGCUUGCUACCCGAUUUGAGAGUGGCGCACGGGUGCGUAACGCGUGAGUAACCUACCCAUAUCAGGGGGAUAGCCCGAAGAAAUUCGGAUUAACACCGCAUAAUAAUACGCUAACACAUGUUAAUGUAUUUAAAUAUUUAUAGGAUAUGGAUGGGCUCGCGUGAAAUUAGCUAGUUGGUAAGGUAACGGCUUACCAAGGCGAGGAUGGCUAGGGGCUCUGAGAGGAGCAUCCCCCACACUGGUACUGCGACACGGACCAGACUGCUACGGGAGGCAGCAGUAAGGAAUAUUGGUCAAUGGGCGCAAGCCUGAACCAGCCAUGCCGCGUGCAGGAUGACUGCCCUAUGGGUUGUAAACUGCUUUUGUUAGGGAAUAAACCUACUUAUGUAUAAGUAGCUGAAUGUACCUAAAGAAUAAGGAUCGGCUAACUCCGUGCCAGCCGCCGCAGUAA
This 504-nucleotide ribosomal RNA is filed under the name uncultured bacterium. RNAcentral's name for it is "partial 16S ribosomal RNA". It matches the Rfam family "Bacterial small subunit ribosomal RNA", at positions 28 to 523 of the family's 1533-position model. The record is from RNAcentral.